AUUGAACGCUGGCGGCGUGCUUAACACAUGCAAGUCGAUCGGUAACAGGUGUAGCAAUACAUGCUGACGAGAGGCGGACGGGUGAGUAAUGCUUGGGAAUCUGCCUAUUAGUGGGGGACAACCCGGGGAAACUCGGGCUAAUACCGCAUACGCUCUACGGAGGAAAGCCGGGGACCGCAAGGCCUGGCGCUAAUAGAUGAGCCCAAGUCGGAUUAGCUAGUUGGUAGGGUAACGGCCUACCAAGGCGACAAUCCGUAGCUGGUCUGAGAGGACGACCAGCCACACUGGGACUGAGACACGGCCCAGACUCCUACGGGAGGCAGCAGUGGGGAAUAUUGGACAAUGGGCGCAAGCCUGAUCCAGCGAUGCCGCGUGUGUGAAGAAGGCCUGCGGGUUGUAAAAGCACUUUCAGUAGGGAAGAAAAGACCGAGUGCUAAUAUCAUUCGG
Molecule: ribosomal RNA, 447 nt
Filed under: uncultured bacterium
Lineage: Bacteria
Description: bacterial SSU rRNA
Rfam family: Bacterial small subunit ribosomal RNA
Source: RNAcentral